UGGGUCGGCUGGACGGUCGCGUCACGGGGUCGCCCGUGCCGAGGAACGUCCGGGCUCCACAGGGCAGGACGGUGGGUAACACCCACCCGGAGCAAUCCGCGAGACAGUGCCACAGAGAGCAGACCGCCCGCCUCGCGCGGGUAAGGGUGAAAGGGUGGUGUAAGAGACCACCGGGGGUCGUGGUGACACGAUCCGCCAGGUAAACCUCGUCCGGAGCAAGGCCAGACAGGGGAUGCAGACGCGGCUCGCCGAGUCCCCGGGUAGGCCGCUGGAGCGGCACGGCAACGUGUCGCCGAGAGAGAUGACCGUCCACGGGGCUCACGCCCCCGGACAGAACCCGGCGUACAGGCCGGCCCAUUCG
RNAcentral lists this RNase P RNA (361 nucleotides) under Microbacterium testaceum. RNAcentral's name for it is "RNase P RNA component class A". It matches the Rfam family "Bacterial RNase P class A". Rfam says of the family: Ribonuclease P (RNase P) is a ubiquitous endoribonuclease, found in archaea, bacteria and eukarya as well as chloroplasts and mitochondria. Its best characterised activity is the generation of mature 5'-ends of tRNAs by cleaving the 5'-leader elements of precursor-tRNAs. Cellular RNase Ps are ribonucleoproteins. Lineage: Bacteria; Bacillati; Actinomycetota; Actinomycetes; Micrococcales; Microbacteriaceae. The record is from RNAcentral.